GAUGAACGCUGGCGGCGUGCCUAAUACAUGCAAGUCGAGCGAACAGACGAGGAGCUUGCUCCUCUGACGUUAGCGGCGGACGGGUGAGUAACACGUGGAUAACCUACCUAUAAGACUGGGAUAACUUCGGGAAACCGGAGCUAAUACCGGAUAAUAUAUUGAACCGCAUGGUUCAAUAGUGAAAGACGGUUUUGCUGUCACUUAUAGAUGGAUCCGCGCCGCAUUAGCUAGUUGGUAAGGUAACGGCUUACCAAGGCAACGAUGCGUAGCCGACCUGAGAGGGUGAUCGGCCACACUGGAACUGAGACACGGUCCAGACUCCUACGGGAGGCAGCAGUAGGGAAUCUUCCGCAGUGGGCGGAAGCUUGACGGAGCAACGCCGCGUGAGUGAUGAAGGUCUUCGGAUCGUAAAACUCUGUUAUUAGGGAAGAACAAAUGUGUAAGUAACUAUGCACGUCUUGACGGUACCGAAUCAGAAAGCCACGGCUAACUACGUG
RNAcentral lists this ribosomal RNA (497 nucleotides) under uncultured bacterium. Its description in RNAcentral is "partial 16S ribosomal RNA". It matches the Rfam family "Bacterial small subunit ribosomal RNA", at positions 28 to 507 of the family's 1533-position model. The record is from RNAcentral.